GGGGAUGACCGGUUUUGACAGCGGGUAGAAGUGGUUUGUAAGCAUGUAGUGCGUGGUUGGCUUGCACUUAAAUCUCAGACAACGAACAAUUAACUGGCGAAAAUAAUUACGCUCUCGCUGCUUAAUCGAAGUAUAGUAGAUUCAAGCUUAAUCCCUGCAAAAGUUGCGGGGACGUGACAUCACCCGGAUGCUGUGGCUCCGAAGCGUUCCGAUCAGGUGGUGCAGCAAUAUCGGAGAUAGUUUGAGAUAAGCCUCGGGUCUCAGGCGAAACUUUAGAGGAUAAGGGAUGAGUGGGUGGCUUCGGUCUUGCUCUUCCCCGACAAUGAAGGCGAAGAUAAACAUGUAGAAAGCAAAUUAAUUCCUCGUUUGGACGAGAGUUCGAAUCUCUCCAUCUCCACGG
Molecule: non-coding RNA, 400 nt
Organism: Parabacteroides distasonis ATCC 8503
Lineage: Bacteria; Pseudomonadati; Bacteroidota; Bacteroidia; Bacteroidales; Tannerellaceae
Rfam family: transfer-messenger RNA
About the family: Bacterial tmRNA, also known as 10Sa RNA or SsrA, is named for its dual tRNA and mRNA-like properties. Its role is to liberate the mRNA from a stalled ribosome.
Source: Rfam